RNAcentral lists this ribosomal RNA (653 nucleotides) under Virbia medarda. RNAcentral's name for it is "eukaryotic LSU rRNA". It matches the Rfam family "Eukaryotic large subunit ribosomal RNA", at positions 413 to 825 of the family's 3401-position model. Lineage: Eukaryota; Metazoa; Arthropoda; Insecta; Lepidoptera; Erebidae. The record is from RNAcentral.
GGGUAAACCUGCGAAACUCGAAUGAACGAACGGAGAGAUUCAUCGUCAUUCCGCGGCGUACGGGCUGCGCGCUUCGAUGUCGUCGGCCUCGGCCGGCAGACACGACUCGCGUCCGUCGACGUCCGCGGACGGCGUGCACUUCUCUCUUAGUAAAUACAUCGCGACCCGUUCGAUGUCGGUCUAAGCGCCGUUCGGGAGCCCCACGGUCCCUCACAAGGGGUCUGUGGGACCGCGACGGUGGCCGACCGGCCGUCGGACGGUAGUUCUGACGAAACGCGCACGCGUUUACAACGCGUCCGGCCCGACGCAAGUCAACGUCGUAUCCCGCGUACCGCCUCAGCGCGGACGUAGGUGCGGCGCGUCUGCUGUUGCCGCCGUGCAGUCUCGGACUGUGCGCGUCUCUGUCUGCGAUGAUUCAGUUUCGGGCACUCGCAGGACCCGUCUUGAAACACGGACCAAGGAGUCUAGCAUGUAUGCGAGUCAUUGAGAUAUAAAAACUGAAAGGCGCAACGAAAGUGAAGGCGCGCGCUAGCCGCGCGCUCAGGGAGGAUGGAGCGUCGAUCUAGGUCGAUCUCUCGCACUCCCGAGGCGUCUCGUUUCCAAUCUGUGAAUGUAGGCGCGCUCUGAGCAUAAAUGCUGGGACCCGAAAGAUG